CCGGGGAAUUCCCGGGGUAGGGGUGAAAUCCUGUAAUUCCCGGGAGGACCACCUGUGGCGAAGGCGCCCGGCUGGAACGGGUCCGACGGUGAGGGACGAAGGCCAGGGGAGCGAACCGGAUUAGAUACCCGGGUAGUCCUGGCUGUAAACGAUGCGGGCUAGGUGUCACCAGAGCCACGAGCUCCGGUGGUGCCGGAGGGAAGCCGUUAAGCCCGCCGCCUGGGAAGUACGGCCGCAAGGCUGAAACUUAAAGGAAUUGGCGGGGGAGCACUACAACGGGUGGAGCCUGCGGUUCAAUUGGAUUCAACGCCGGGAAGCUUACCGGGGGAGACAGCUGGAUGAAGGUCGGGCUGAAGACCCUACCAGACUAGCUGAGAGGUGGUGCAUGGCCGCCGUCAGUUCGUACUGUGAAGCGUCCUGUUAAGUCAGGCAACGAGCGAGACCCGCGCCCUCAGUUGCCAGCGGAUCCCUUCGGGGAUGCCGGGCACACUGAGGGGACUGCCGGCGCUAAGCCGGAGGAAGGUGCGGGCAACGGCAGGUCCGUAUGCCCCGAAUCCCCCGGGCUACACGCGGGCUACAAUGGCCGGGACAAUGGGUACCGACCCCGAAAGGGGUAGGUAAUCCCCUAAACCCGGUCUAACCUGGGAUCGAGGGCUGCAACUCGCCCUCGUGAACCUGGAAUCCGUAGUAANNNCGCCUCAAAAUGGCGCGGUGAAUAC
This 719-nucleotide ribosomal RNA is filed under the name uncultured archaeon. RNAcentral describes it as "bacterial SSU rRNA". It matches the Rfam family "Archaeal small subunit ribosomal RNA", at positions 610 to 1325 of the family's 1478-position model. The record is from RNAcentral.